This is a long non-coding RNA of Alosa sapidissima (American shad), 562 nucleotides long. RefSeq lists it as uncharacterized. The transcript has 4 exons. NCBI's taxonomy places the organism in Eukaryota, Metazoa, Chordata, Actinopteri, Clupeiformes, Clupeidae. The record is from RefSeq and is a predicted model, not a curated record.
UGAAAGAAAUGUUGAAAGUCGGGCUGAAAUCACAUUCAUAUCUAGGGACAGAUGACCGCCUGUUCUAGCCAAUCAAUACGAUAAUACAAGCUGUUACUGCACCCAGAGAAGAGAUGAAGAGGAGGUGUCAGCGCAAUCUGUCCACAACACAACCCAGGCCAGGACACAGUCCAUACAUCAACAGAGUUCUUCACCAGCAGGUGUAAGCCAGGCCUCCGAAACUCUACAGUGAGUGGUCCAUCGUCUCGCCAAUCAAAAAGGCCUCCGAAACUCUACAGUGAGUGGACCAUCGUCUCGCCAAUCAAAAAGACCUCCGAAACUCUACAGUGAGUGGACCAUCGUCUCGCCAAUCAAAAAGGCCUCCGAAACUCUACAGUGAGUGGACCAUCCUCUCACAACUCAAAAAGGCCUUGGAAACUCCACGCAGCUGAAGUUGUCUUAGUUCACCAAGAGUGCACACCAAACUUCUCUGAAGAUGGAGAGAGAAAAUCAACAGCGAAGUAGAGGGAAAAAAGAAAAACGACUACUGACAACAUCGAUUUAUUUUCCUCUGCACAUGGUG